Molecule: ribosomal RNA, 713 nt
Filed under: uncultured Bacteroidota bacterium
Lineage: Bacteria; Pseudomonadati; Bacteroidota
Description: bacterial SSU rRNA
Rfam family: Bacterial small subunit ribosomal RNA
Source: RNAcentral
AGUCGAGGGGUAUUGGUUUUCGGACCAAGAGACCGGCGCACGGGUGCGUAACGCGUAUGCAAUCUACCUUUCACAGAGGGAUAGCCCAGAGAAAUUUGGAUUAAUACCUCAUAGUAUGCAGAGUUGGCAUCAACUCUGCAUUAAAGUCACAACGGUGAAAGAUGAGCAUGCGUCCCAUUAGCUAGUUGGUAAGGUAACGGCUUACCAAGGCAACGAUGGGUAGGGGUCCUGAGAGGGAGAUCCCCCACACUGGUACUGAGACACGGACCAGACUCCUACGGGAGGCAGCAGUGAGGAAUAUUGGACAAUGGGCGCAAGCCUGAUCCAGCCAUGCCGCGCGCAGGAUGACGGUCCUAUGGAUUGUAAACUGCUUUUGUACGAGAAGAAACACUCCUUCGUGAAGGAGCUUGACGGUAUCGUAAGAAUAAGGAUCGGCUAACUCCGUGCCAGCAGCCGCGGUAAUACGGAGGAUCCAAGCGUUAUCCGGAAUCAUUGGGUUUAAAGGGUCCGUAGGCGGUUUAGUAAGUCAGUGGUGAAAGCCCAUCGCUCAACGGUGGAACGGCCAUUGAUACUGCUAGACUUGAAUUAUUAGGAAGUAACUAGAAUAUGUAGUGUAGCGGUGAAAUGCUUAGAGAUUACAUGGAAUACCAAUUGCGAAGGCAGGUUACUACUAAUGGAUUGACGCUGAUGGACGAAAGCGUGGGUAGCGAACA